GAUGAACGCUGGCGGCGUGCCUAAUACAUGCAAGUCGAGCGAACGGACGAGAAGCUUGCUUCUCUAAUGUUAGCGGCGGACGGGUGAGUAACACGUGGAUAACCUACCUAUAAGACUGGGAUAACUUCGGGAAACCGUAGCUAAUACCGGAUAAUAUUUUGAACCGCAUGGUUCAAAAGUGAAAGACGGUCUUGCUGUCACUUAUAGAUGGAUCCGCGCUGCAUUAGCUAGUUGGUAAGGUAACGGCUUACCAAGGCAACGAUGCAUAGCCGACCUGAGAGGGUGAUCGGCCACACUGGAACUGAGACACGGUCCAGACUCCUACGGGAGGCAGCAGUAGGGAAUCUUCCGCAAUGGGCGAAAGCCUGACGGAGCAACGCCGCGUGAGUGAUGAAGGUCUUCGGAUCGUAAAACUCUGUUAUUAGGGAAGAACAUAUGUGUAGGUAACUGUGCACAUCUUGACGGUACCUAAUCAGAAAGCCACGGCUAACUACGUG
This 497-nucleotide ribosomal RNA is filed under the name uncultured bacterium. RNAcentral's name for it is "partial 16S ribosomal RNA". It matches the Rfam family "Bacterial small subunit ribosomal RNA", at positions 28 to 507 of the family's 1533-position model. The record is from RNAcentral.